GACGAGCGCUGGCGGCGUGCUUAACACAUGCAAGUCGAACGGAAAGGCCCCCACCUUGGUGGGGGUGCUCGAGUGGCGAACGGGUGAGUAACACGUGGGUGAUCUGCCCUGUACUUCGGGAUAAGCUUGGGAAACUGGGUCUAAUACCGGAUAGGACCAUGGUUUAGUGUCUCAUGGUGGAAAAAUUAUUGUUUUGGUGCAGGAUGAGCUCGCGGCCUAUCAGCUUGUUGGUGGGGUAAUGGCCUACCAAGGCGUCGACGGGUAGCCGGCCUGAGAGGGUGGACGGCCACAUUGGGACUGAGAUACGGCCCAGACUCCUACGGGAGGCAGCAGUGGGGAAUAUUGCACAAUGGGCGCAAGCCUGAUGCAGCGACGCCGCGUGGGGGAUGACGGCCUUCGGGUUGUAAACUCCUUUCGUUAGGGACGAAGCCACACCUUUUUUGGGUGUGGUGACGGUACCUUUGUUAAGAAGCACCGGCUAACUACGUG
Molecule: ribosomal RNA, 489 nt
Filed under: uncultured bacterium
Lineage: Bacteria
Description: partial 16S ribosomal RNA
Rfam family: Bacterial small subunit ribosomal RNA
Source: RNAcentral